Molecule: ribosomal RNA, 425 nt
Filed under: uncultured bacterium
Lineage: Bacteria
Description: bacterial SSU rRNA
Rfam family: Bacterial small subunit ribosomal RNA
Source: RNAcentral
GUGGGGAAUAUUGGACAAUGGGCGCAAGCCUGAUCCAGCCAUGCCGCGUGAGUGAUGAAGGCCCUAGGGUUGUAAAGCUCUUUCAGUGGGGACGAUAAUGACGGUACCCACAGAAGAAGCCCCGGCUAACUUCGUGCCAGCAGCCGCGGUAAUACGAAGGGGGCUAGCGUUGUUCGGAUUUACUGGGCGUAAAGCGCACGUAGGCGGUUUGUUAAGUCAGGGGUGAAAUCCCGGAGCUCAACUCCGGAACUGCCUUUGAUACUGGCAAGCUAGAGUCCGGAAGAGGUAAGUGGAACUCCUAGUGUAGAGGUGGAAUUCGUAGAUAUUAGGAAGAACACCAGUGGCGAAGGCGGCUUACUGGUCCGGAACUGACGCUGAGGUGCGAAAGCGUGGGGAGCAAACAGGAUUAGAUACCCGGGUAGUCC